This 620-nucleotide ribosomal RNA is filed under the name Rhizopus arrhizus. Its description in RNAcentral is "eukaryotic LSU rRNA". The stretch from base 239 to 392 matches the Rfam family "5.8S ribosomal RNA". Lineage: Eukaryota; Fungi; Mucoromycota; Mucoromycetes; Mucorales; Rhizopodaceae. The record is from RNAcentral.
AAGUAACAAGGUUUCCGUAGGUGAACCUGCGGAAGGAUCAUUAAUUAUGUUAAAGCGCCUUACCUCUUAGGGUUUCCUCUGGGGUAAGUGAUUGCUUCUACACUGUGAAAAUUUGGCUGAGAGACUCAGACUGGUCAUGGGUAGACCUAUCUGGGGUUUGAUCGAUGCCACUCCUGGUUUCAGGAGCACCCUUCAUAAUAAACCUAGAAAUUCAGUAUUAUAAAGUUUAAUAAAAAACAACUUUUAACAAUGGAUCUCUUGGUUCUCGCAUCGAUGAAGAACGUAGCAAAGUGCGAUAACUAGUGUGAAUUGCAUAUUCAGUGAAUCAUCGAGUCUUUGAACGCAGCUUGCACUCUAUGGUUUUUCUAUAGAGUACGCCUGCUUCAGUAUCAUCACAAACCCACACAUAACAUUUGUUUAUGUGGUAAUGGGUCGCAUCGCUGUUUUAUUACAGUGAGCACCUAAAAUGUGUGUGAUUUUCUGUCUGGCUUGCUAGGCAGGAAUAUUACGCUGGUCUCAGGAUCUUUUUCUUUGGUUCGCCCAGGAAGUAAAGUACAAGAGUAUAAUCCAGCAACUUUCAAACUAUGAUCUGAAGUCAGUUAGUUCCCUACUCCAAGGCC